UUAAAGUUCUGUUUUAUUGAGAACCACAAAAGGUAAGAACUAAGAGAGUCCUCCCAGGUCAUCAGGUCCCAUCCCUUGGUCUAAGGAUGGCGAAACCAUUGUCACAGCCAGCAGCUGCCGUGUUCUGGGACUGUCUCAUGGGGCAAUGUGUCCUCACCCCCAGCAGUGCCAGCCCAGGUCAGAAGGCUUCAUUCAGAAGGGGGGUGUCCCAGCCACUGUCUGCUGUCACUCACAGCACCUGGCUGAGCCCCCAUGGAGGAUGGAGACCCACAGAUACACACACACACACAGAGACAUCUCCAAAUCUCUGACUCAGACUCACACACAGGCACACACAGACACACGCUCAACACAGACACACGCAGGCCUUUAUUCUAUUACACAGAGUAGGGCUGGGGAGCAGGGACGUAGUGCGGCUCGGAGCAGUGGGAGUUUGGUGGCGUGUGUGGAGGGGACAUGACACACUCAGCCCAGCAG
RNAcentral lists this non-coding RNA (477 nucleotides) under Pan troglodytes (chimpanzee). Lineage: Eukaryota; Metazoa; Chordata; Mammalia; Primates; Hominidae. The record is from RNAcentral.